GAUGAACGCUGGCGGCGUGCCUAAUACAUGCAAGUCGAGCGAACAGACGAGGAGCUUGCUCCUCUGACGUUAGCGGCGGACGGGUGAGUAACACGUGGAUAACCUACCUAUAAGACUGGGAUAACUUCGGGAAACCGGAGCUAAUACCGGAUAAUAUAUUGAACCGCAUGGUUCAAUAGUGAAAGACGGUUUUGCUGUCACUUAUAGAUGGAUCCGCGCCGCAUUAGUUAGUUGGUAAGGUAACGGCUUACCAAGGCAACGAUGCGUAGCCGACCUGAGAGGGUGAUCGGCCACACUGGAACUGAGACACGGUCCAGACUCCUACGGGAGGCAGCAGUAGGGAAUCUUCCGCAAUGGGCGAAAGCUGGACGGAGCAACGCCGCGGGAGUGAUGAAGGUCUUCGGAUCGUAAAACUCUGUUAUUAGGGAAGAACAAAUGUGUAAGUAACUAUGCACGUCUUGACGGUACCUAAUCAGAAAGCCACGGCUAACUACGUG
RNAcentral lists this ribosomal RNA (497 nucleotides) under uncultured bacterium. RNAcentral describes it as "partial 16S ribosomal RNA". It matches the Rfam family "Bacterial small subunit ribosomal RNA", at positions 28 to 507 of the family's 1533-position model. The record is from RNAcentral.